RNAcentral lists this ribosomal RNA (390 nucleotides) under Triticum aestivum (bread wheat). RNAcentral describes it as "partial small subunit ribosomal RNA". The record is from RNAcentral. Lineage: Eukaryota; Viridiplantae; Streptophyta; Magnoliopsida; Poales; Poaceae.
ACUGAGCGUCUUUUGCAUGUCAAACCAGAUUACGCACCACUUCAUGUAUUUGGGUGUGCAUGUUGGCCCAACCUCCGUCCAUACAACAAUCAUAAACUCAUGUUUCGUUCGAAACAGUGUGUUUUUCUUGGCCAUAGUCCACAACAUAAAGGAGUUAAGUGCUUAGAUGUCUCUACCGGUCGAGUGUAUAUCUCCCGGGAUGUUAUGUUUGACGAAACCCAGUUUCCCUUUGCCACACUCCAUCCCAAUGUCGGUGCCCUUCUUCGCAAAGAAAUUCUUCUUUUGCCCUCGAAUCUCUCCAAUGGUGCAAAUGGGGAAGAAAAUAAUUGUGAUGAUCAAUAUUUGCCUAACCCUCCUAACUUUAUACCUGAGCUUUGUGUUUCAGCAAUA